UACGUAGGGUGCAAGCGUUGUCCGGAAUUAUUGGGCGUAAAGAGCUCGUAGGCGGUCUGUUGCGUCGGCUGUGAAAACCCGGGGCUCAACUCCGGGCCUGCAUUCGAUACGGGCUGACUAGAGUUCGGCAGGGGAGACUGGAAUUCCUGGUGUAGCGGUGAAAUGCGCAGAUAUCAGGAAGAACACCAAUGGCGAAAGCAGCUCUCUGGGACGGUACUGACGCUGAGACGCGAAAGCGUGGGGAGCGAACAGG
Molecule: ribosomal RNA, 253 nt
Filed under: uncultured bacterium
Lineage: Bacteria
Description: partial 16S ribosomal RNA
Rfam family: Bacterial small subunit ribosomal RNA
Source: RNAcentral